CCUUUCUCUGUUCUGUUUCAAACAACUUUUCCAUGGAUAACGUAAGCUAAAAUUUUAAAUCACUGCACGUCACAGUAAGUUUACCAACCAACCAGCUGAUGAAUUUUUUUUCUGUGGAAAUUUUAAAAGUAGAAAUUGGUUCUCGACCGUUAGCUGUAAUGGCGGAAUGUGAAUGUUGCUUUGCUUUACUAGCAAUUUUUGUGGCUGGUGUAGGUCGAAGCCGUGACUCUCCACGCUGAAGGAUGUCUAUGUGUUCGAUGCGGCUAGAGGUUGCUACAUUGCAGUCUGUGCAACGAAAUUGCCUUGAAAACCAUGCUGCAGGUGAGCGUUGUUGCGGUACGCCCUUGAUUUAGUGCUGGAAGCUAGCGUAAGUAAUUCCCUGUUCACGUUGUUUUAUUUCUAGACGGUUUGAGUUGCAUUUCUGUUCUUGUGUUAUGGUUAUCUAUAGGAUUACUUUUAAGGUGGUUUGUCUAGGAUUUAGGGUUUUAGUUCGGCCUGUCUUCUUAACCAUGUUAACUUGUGAUUUAGCUUGUAUGCCUCGACGUUAUUUGAGUAAGUUUAUUGUUUAAAUACGAAAUUGUGCUUUAGUUAACCAUGUAAAUUUUUAACCCUUUCCGGUCCUACGUCGGACUGAGUCCGCCACGUAUUAUACAGUUUUAUAGACGUUGUGGAGUCAAUCCGAGGCAUACAAACAGUGUCAAUAUAUCAUUCAAGCCGUCAUCUGUGCAGUGGUGUCAACCAAGAAUUCAUUAUAAUAUAUUUGUGAACCUUGUAAAAAAAAUUUGUGAAGUGCCUACAUAUUUUGUUAGUACUUAUAUCCCCAGAAGGCGUGCGUUGGACAGCAAACAUCCGUGAACAAUUGCAUUAUGACCUGGAUUCCUUCAGUAAAAUUAGUCAGGAUUUAGAUAUUGAUAUAAUUGAGUAUAGUGACUCUGAUGCUUAAAUAACUUGAAAAUAAUGUGUGGCCCACCCUAGAGCUAAGAACUCAAGCUCACUGGAACUGUAUCUUUGUUCAUGUUGGUUCAACUGCCCUGAAACAUGGGCCAUAUAUAUUUCAAUACCAAUAUUGUACUGUAACCGUCUCUUAUUCUUUUGGGGGGCUUGAGUUUCAUACGGUCCACUACAGGUUUGCGACGAUGUAUAUAACCGUCUCCUCUCCUUAGCAGCUUGUUGCCAAGGUGGGAUCAGGUACGAUGAAGAAAUCCCAUUAGAUAGGACGAGCCAUGAAACUCAUAUCAUGGAAUUACUGGUUUUAAUUAAGGGUCGCGUCAGCUGUGUCACGAGGUAUUUAUUUGCAGGUGAUUGUUCUGGAUUAACUCCUACGCACGAUACUGGUAGAUAGUGCACUACUGUGUGUGAACAUAGUUAAAUUAAUACACAUGCGUCCGUCAUUGCCAAUUCAGAAUUGACGUGACUACUUGGCGAACUGACAACUAUAUAAGUUUUCAACUAAGAAUUUACAAUGUUUCAACUUGAGUACGAACUUGCAACAACUGCCUCGAAAAGAAGUUUGUUUCUCAAAAUGUAUUAAUUUCUCCCACAACCUGAAUGUUGUAACAUCACUGGUUCAUCUUCCCGCUUUGUUUCGUGGUUGGUGGAAUAAUUUAAAUUUAAGUCAGAAUAACUUUUCUCUUAUUGGCCGGUUCGAUACCCGAGGUCAACUGUGACAGUUUACAUCGCGUGGUGACUGUAGGACACUUAUGCCUACAUUUGCAUAAAUCCGAUUAAUAGUGGUCCGACCUCCUGGGGGUGAAAUGCUGCAAUGGUCUGUCAAAGUAAAGUUACAAGAAGAAUGCGAAUUUUUCGAAAAGACAGUUGACAGUGACAAAUAUAGGUCUUAUGUUCCCCUGACCCUUCGCGACUCGUGCAGGCGUGGAUGUGGAUGUAUUGAAGACGGAAACGACGGGAACAUUACUUCAUCCUUAACGGGUGGUCAUUUGUCUGGGCUCAACCUCAUGACUAGACGAUUACAGUACAGGUUAUCGCAACCUUCCUAGCAACUGUUUUGAUGCUAAAGGUUGUGUGAAAAUUGGAGCAGUUGUUUAUGCCAUUUUUAGGUCGUCAGAAGAGUUUUGGUGCUUCUUGGCCAAAACAAAAUUUUUAUUCUUGUAUGUUUUGCUCCUGUUACAUAGUUUGAUACCAUCUUAUGGCAUUCCUUGAAAGCAACCUAACCUAACCUAACUAUUUUUGGCAUUGGAUAGUUAACUACAGUUUUCGCCUUUUCUGUUGACCUGUAUUGCCUCUCUUGCUGCAAUAUAAUCUAAGUAUUCAACUUUGGCCAGGCAAUGGAACAAUCUCCUGUAGGCAUGAUGUCUGCUACUUCAGUGGAAUCCACAGACGACACUUUCACUUCCAAUGUUUGUUUUUGGUGAUAAAUCUCAAUUUCACCUUCGCGUCUGCACCCUUGGAGCAAACUCUGGAAAAGGGACUUCA
Molecule: non-coding RNA, 2433 nt
Organism: Zootermopsis nevadensis
Lineage: Eukaryota; Metazoa; Arthropoda; Insecta; Blattodea; Termopsidae
Source: RefSeq, a predicted model, not a curated record